AGUAAAGUGCCUGAAAAAGGAUUAUCUUGAUAGGGUAAAUCAUGUAGGUCAAUCCUACCUUUACUA
RNAcentral lists this transfer RNA (66 nucleotides) under Trachypenaeus curvirostris. RNAcentral's name for it is "tRNA-Ile". The record is from RNAcentral. Lineage: Eukaryota; Metazoa; Arthropoda; Malacostraca; Decapoda; Penaeidae.